CCUACGGGAGGCAGCAGUGAGGAAUAUUGGUCAAUGGGCGCGAGCCUGAACCAGCCAAGUAGCGUGAAGGAUGACUGCCCUACGGGUUGUAAACUUCUUUUAUCAAGGAAUAAAGUUAGGCACGUGUGCCUUUUUGUAUGUACUUUAUGAAUAAGGAUCGGCUAACUCCGUGCCAGCAGCCGCGGUAAUACGGAGGAUCCGAUCGUUAUCCGGAUUUAUUGGGUUUAAAGGGAGCGUAGAUGGGUUGUUAAGUCAGUUGUGAAAGUUUAGGGCUCAACCUGAAAAUUGCAAUUGAUACUGGCAGCCUUGAGGACAGUUGAGGUAGGCGGAAUUCGUGGUGUAGCGGUGAAAUGCUUAGAUAUCACGAAGAACUCCGAUUGCGAAGGCAGCUUACUAAACUGCCACUGACAUUGAUGCUCGAAAGUGUGGGUAUCAAACAGGAUUAGAUACCCUUGUAGUC
This 460-nucleotide ribosomal RNA is filed under the name uncultured bacterium. Its description in RNAcentral is "partial 16S ribosomal RNA". It matches the Rfam family "Bacterial small subunit ribosomal RNA", at positions 338 to 795 of the family's 1533-position model. The record is from RNAcentral.